UGAACUUCAAGAUGGGUGACUAAAGACGUUUUUAUUAGAAUCCGACAAAGGGUUACAAGAUUGAUGGGAAAUAAGGAGACAAGAUUUGAGGUCUAAGCAACAAGAUCAGAAUGAUCGUUUAGAAACCCUAGAUCUAGCCGCUUAGUGUGUAGGUUGUCCAAAAGUCCACUGCUCGUUGCCUCCUCCUCCACUCUUAUAGCGCCUCUGUUCGUGAUGCCCUAAUCGCACUUAUCCUAUGGGCCCUGUCACCAAAGGCCGAGUAUGCGGGCCUUGGUAUUAUUUCGUCUAAGCCGAGUACGACUGAUCAUCUUAGCCGAUUGGCUUAAAGUACUCUAGGGUCGAGCCGACGUCUUUAGCCGCUAAGCCGACUAAACUCAACCAAAAUUGUCGGGCUACGGCCUGUUAUUUGAUGGGCCUUGUGGAGGAAUGCAGUCCAUCUCCUACACUCCUCC
Molecule: long non-coding RNA, 452 nt
Filed under: Brassica napus (rape)
Lineage: Eukaryota; Viridiplantae; Streptophyta; Magnoliopsida; Brassicales; Brassicaceae
Description: long non-coding RNA (BNAP_LNC024539)
Source: RNAcentral